CUCUGAUCCAUUUACAGGCCCCCUGCAGAAGGUCAUGAUGCCCUCAGUCUUUACACUUGAACUCUGGGACUCUCUAGUUACCUGGAGAAGAGGUGGCACUGUUUUCUAACAUGGAGACAGACACAACACAAACAAACAUAUAAAAGCUAAAAUCUGAAAAAGCAAGUAAAUAAGCAUGAUAAUUACCAACUUAUGCAAUAAAGGAUAUAGGCAAGGUGACGUCAGAAAGAGUAAUUUGGAGGUGGUGCUAUUUAAGAUAACAUCAUCAGGGAGGCCCUCCCGGAGACGGGGACAUUUGAGCUGAGAUGCAAAAGAUGGUAGACACACAAAGAGCAGAGAAGGAUAUUUUAGAGAGCAGGGGAGUGGAGGAGCCAAGAUGGCCGAAUAGGAACAGCUCUGGUCUACAGCUCCCAGCGUAAGCGACGCAGAAGACAGGUGAUUUCUGCAUUUCCAUCUGAGGAUCCUACAGGACAUUCAAUCAUCACGUCUCCUUAGGCCCCUCUCAACUGUGGCAGUUUCUCAGACUUCGUUGUUUUUGCUCUUUCUCUUUCACGUGGGGAGAGUGUGGAACGGCUCAGUUUCUCCAGCAAGGAAUCCUCCUGUCCUGUCUAAAAGGCAACCUGCAUCCUAGGAGCAAAGAGAGGGAAAAGCACUGAGGAGUACGGCCAUGCCAUAGGCAGAUUUGCAAUUAAUUCUCUCGCUUGCAGCCCUAUGACUAAUUCUGGGCCAGGCCGUGCAUAUUGUCUCCAAAUCCUGAGGCUCUUGCCUCCCAUUCUCCAAAGAAUAAUCAGCCUCCUGCCUGGGGGGGUGAUUACACAGCUGCUAGGGUUCUAUGCCUGAGCCGUAAGUGAGGUACACAGACUGUUUCCCAUGUUAACAUAUUCUUCAGUUUAUUCCCACACUCUCUGCUGUACUGGAUUCCUCAGUUUCGGAGCUUCUCCAGGAGUCUACAGGACUAACUUAUUGUCUCCUUGUUAGUACCAACUUCUUGCUUGUCCUUUAAGAUAUGAUAUCCUCAAUCUGGUUAUAUCAGACACCUUUCCUACAUUCCUUUCCUGUCUUUUGAAAUAUGAUUGAAAUAUUUCAUCAAUUAAUGUCUUCUCUCCUAUUCUCUUUGUACUUGCAAGCUUAAGCCUCUUUUAUCUUUUCAAAUAUUUUAGCAGGCUCUCUGAAAGGAGAGGCUAUAAACUUCUAUGUCUAUUCUUCUAUCUUUAAAUUCAACAAGAGGCAGAACACUUUCAUGGUUAAGUUAGGCCUGCAUUUAAAUCCUGCCUCUGUCACAUACUUUUCUAAGACUUAGAAAUUUGCUAACCUCUGGAAACCUUGACCUCCUUUCUGUAAAAUGAGAACCUACCUCAUUGGGUUGUUGUGAGGAUCAAAUAAAAUAUGUAUGGUUGGCACGUA
This 1404-nucleotide long non-coding RNA is filed under the name Homo sapiens (human). RNAcentral describes it as "HSALNT0336264". Lineage: Eukaryota; Metazoa; Chordata; Mammalia; Primates; Hominidae. The record is from RNAcentral.